Molecule: ribosomal RNA, 406 nt
Filed under: uncultured bacterium
Lineage: Bacteria
Description: partial 16S ribosomal RNA
Rfam family: Bacterial small subunit ribosomal RNA
Source: RNAcentral
AUUGAACGCUGGCGGCAGGCCUAACACAUGCAAGUCGAACGAGUGGCGGACGGGUGAGUAAUGUCUGGGAAACUGCCUGAUGGAGGGGGAUAACUAAUGGAAACGGUAGCUAAUCCCGCAAACAGUCGGAUGUGACCGGAGUGGAUUGGCUAGUAGGUGGGGUAAAGGCUAACCUAGGGGACGAUCCCUAGCUGGUCUGAGAGGAUGACCAGCCACACUGGAACGUAGACACGGGCCAGACUCCUACGGGAGGCAGCAGUGGGGAAUAUUGCACAAUGGGCGCAAGCCUGAUGCAGCCAUGCCGCGUGUAUGAAGAAGGCCUUCUGGUUGUAAAGUACUUUCAGCGGGGAGGCGUUACCCGCAGAAGAAGCACCGGCUAACUCCGUGCCAGCAGCCGCGGUAAUAC